RNAcentral lists this ribosomal RNA (501 nucleotides) under uncultured bacterium. RNAcentral describes it as "partial 16S ribosomal RNA". It matches the Rfam family "Bacterial small subunit ribosomal RNA", at positions 30 to 523 of the family's 1533-position model. The record is from RNAcentral.
AUUGAACGCUGGCGGCAGGCUUAACACAUGCAAGUCGAGCGGGGGAAGGUAGCUUGCUACCGGACCUAGCGGCGGACGGGUGAGUAAUGCUUAGGAAUCUGCCUAUUAGUGGGGGACAACAUCUCGAAAGGGAUGCUAAUACCGCAUACGUCCUACGGGAGAAAGCAGGGGAUCUUCGGACCUUGCGCUAAUAGAUGAGCCUAAGUCGGAUUAGCUAGUUGGUGGGGUAAAGGCCUACCAAGGCGACGAUCUGUAGCGGGUCUGAGAGGAUGAUCCGCCACACUGGGACUGAGACACGGCCCAGACUCCUACGGGAGGCAGCAGUGGGGAAUAUUGGACAAUGGGGGGAACCCUGAUCCAGCCAUGCCGCGUGUGUGAAGAAGGCCUUAUGGUUGUAAAUCACUUUAAGCGAGGAGGAGGCUACUCUAGUUAAUACCUAGGGAUAGUGGACGUUACUCGCAGAAUAAACACCGGCUAACUCUGUGCCAGCAGCCGCCGUAA